AGUGAACGCUGGCGGUAUGCCUAACACAUGCAAGUCGAACGGCAGCACAGUAAGAGCUUGCGCUUACGGGUGGCGAGUGGCGGACGGGUGAGUAAUACAUCGGAAUCUACUUUUUCGUGGGUGAUAACGUAGGUAAACUUACUCGAAUACCGCAUACGACCUACUUGUGAAAGCAGGGGAUCUUCUGACCUUGCGGUAUUGAAUGAGCCGAUGUCGGAUUAGCUAGUUGGCGGGUUAAAGGCCCACCAAGGCGACGAUCCGUAGCUGGUCUGAGAGGAUGAGUCGACACACUGGAAGUGAGACACGGUCCAGACUCCUACAGGAGGACGCAGUGGGGAAUAUUAGAGAAUGGGGGAAAGGCUGAUACAGCAAUACCGGGGGGGUGCAGAAGGAGUUAGGGUUGGAAAGUCAUUUUGUUGGGAAAGAAAAGAAGCAGGUUAAUACGCCGCUGUAAUGACGGUACCGAAAGAAUAAGCACCGGCUAACUUCGUG
This 492-nucleotide ribosomal RNA is filed under the name uncultured bacterium. RNAcentral's name for it is "partial 16S ribosomal RNA". It matches the Rfam family "Bacterial small subunit ribosomal RNA", at positions 29 to 507 of the family's 1533-position model. The record is from RNAcentral.